CAUCGUUCUGGUAGAGGGGAUAUCCGCGGAGCUGACUAUCACUCAGCCGAGGGAGGUCGACCUAUACGGACGAGCGUUCGACACCCUGGCGGUGC
Molecule: transfer RNA, 95 nt
Filed under: Nocardia jinanensis
Lineage: Bacteria; Bacillati; Actinomycetota; Actinomycetes; Mycobacteriales; Nocardiaceae
Description: tRNA-Asp
Source: RNAcentral